UUCAUACUCUCUCCGUCCAAUAAAAGAUGUCUCAAAUUUGUCAAAAUUUGAAUGUAUCUAGACAUGACUUAGUGUAUAGACGCAUUCAAAUUUGGUCAAAGUUGAGACAGCCUUUGUUGGACGGAGGGAGUAAUAA
Molecule: non-coding RNA, 136 nt
Organism: Brachypodium distachyon (stiff brome)
Lineage: Eukaryota; Viridiplantae; Streptophyta; Magnoliopsida; Poales; Poaceae
Source: Rfam